RNAcentral lists this ribosomal RNA (253 nucleotides) under uncultured bacterium. Its description in RNAcentral is "partial 16S ribosomal RNA". It matches the Rfam family "Bacterial small subunit ribosomal RNA", at positions 524 to 776 of the family's 1533-position model. The record is from RNAcentral.
UACGAAGGGGGCUAGCGUUGUUCGGAAUUACUGGGCGUAAAGCGUGCGCAGGCGGCCUUCCAAGUCAGGGGUGAAAGCCCAGAGCUCAACUCUGGAAUUGCCUUUGAGACUGUGAGGCUUGAGUACGGGAGAGGUGAGUGGAAUUCCCAGUGUAGAGGUGAAAUUCGUAGAUAUUGGGAAGAACACCGGUGGCGAAGGCGGCUCACUGGCCCGAAACUGACGCUCAUGCACGAAAGCGUGGGGAUCAAACAGG